This 3490-nucleotide long non-coding RNA is filed under the name Equus caballus (horse). RNAcentral describes it as "lncRNA (ENSECAG00000034327.3)". Lineage: Eukaryota; Metazoa; Chordata; Mammalia; Perissodactyla; Equidae. The record is from RNAcentral.
GAAAAGGCCCAGGGCUCUGUUUAUAUGUAAUUGACAUACCAUAUAACUUAGUAUCUGAACAAGACGUUCCGGAGAGCGGAACGGGGCGCUGCCUAUCACACUGGGACCAGCAGUGGCCCAGGCAGAUCUGAAAGGUGAUGACCAGAGCCUCUCCCAGCCCUGACCCCUGAGACCCGGUGAGAAGACCUCUUGGACGGAAGUCACAGGUGGUUGUGACCGUCAGCACCAGGUGUCCGCUUGGCCAGGCGAUCGCCCCCAGAGAUCCAACCACACACACCCAGGUGUGGCUGGGCAGGUGUCUCGCGGAGCUGAGGAACUCCCACAGCCAGUGGCUUUAAGUGCAGAUCAGCCUCAGUAUGCAGGUGGCCUCCUCCAACCAGCGGGAAGAUCUUCAGAGAAGAGCAGGCUUCUCGGAGGAAGAAGAAAUUCUGCUUCAGCUCCUGCCCGAGAUGGCCCUGCGGAUUUCAGCCUCGCCCAGCCAGCCCGCACCAUCAUAUGUGGGGCCCAGUUCCUCCUCCCCUGACUCUGGGCUGGCCAGGAUGACUCGCUUGUAACCAACGGAAUACGGUGGAAGGGACACUGCCCGAGUCAGGCCAGGCCGGAGGCUAUGCAGAUCCGCCUGGCUCUCAUGGGACACCAGCUCUCUGGACACUCUAUCCCGGGAACCCCCCUCUCCAGAUGCUGCCGCCGUGCCGUGGGAAGCCCGAGCCGUGUGAGAGGCCACGUGGAGGUUCUGGUGACAGGCACAGCGGAGCCGGCCCGCUGAGUCCCUCAGCCCAGGACCCGACAUACAGAGACACUCACCACCGGAUCCAGGGCUCCCCUAAGUCCAAGUGGCCUCAUCUAGAGAUCCUUUACUAGUGACACCUGUGAAGACUCUAUUUCCAAACAAGGUCACACGGGCAGUUCUGGGCGGACACAAAUUUGGGGGACACUAUUCUCCACAGGACGAGAGUGCUGACUUUCCAUAGUUCUGUGGCAUUGAGGAAAGGCAGGCCUUUCUGUGAUCAUCCAACCAUAUAACGGGCUUUUCUCUCUCCGCUGCGUUUUCAACACCCUGAACGCGUGCUCUGGACGUCCUCGAACGUCAUUCCUGUAAAGACCAGGGUGGAGGGUAACGAACAUUCCAUCUAUUAAUUUCUGUACAAAUAGUCUUUAGCUGAUUCUGGCCUGAGCAUCUGAGCUCUGUUCAUUUGCAGCUUGUUCAGCCGAGCGUCGGGUCACCAAAACCUUUAUCAGCUGGACAGACAGAAAGGAGAGGAAACAAAGGCGGGGCCUCUCCCAGCUUUUCCUAGAAAAUAUUAUUGUUUUCUUUGUGCAGCUGAGUCACCAGUGACCACGGGGCCAUCUGAGUCCACAGCAAGAGGCACAGGAGGAUCUUUGGAGUUUGGGGAAGGACAUUGGCAUUUUGCCCGAGAACACCUGCACAGGAUGCAUUCCCAGGCCCACACUCAGAGAAAACUGUGGGUGCCUUCCUAGCCUUGAGGCAGCUCACCCCAAAGGCCGUCUGAGAAGGAUGUUAGCCCACUGGCCCCCUUUCUGCGUGUUUAAGGAGAGUCAGCUGGGGCCUGCGUUUCUCCCGGCUGGCUGAGUGCUGUGAGUCGGUGCACCCUUACUGAACGCGCUGUGUCCUGACCACCCGCCUGGCUGCCCCAAUGGCCUCAGAGGUCAUGCAGGUGCCGAGGGUAGGGCACGCAGGGCGAGCUCUUGUGCAACCGGGUGCAAAGCCAUGGGUAGGAUGGAGAAAGGACGCUGGCAGUGUGCGCGGAGCAAAGGGGAUCAGAUGAUCUGACAGGGAAACCCGUUUAUGCAGGAAAUUCUCUCACCAAGCACUGAGGACAGAAACUCAAGGAGCCUCCUUCAUGCUAAUAUGCAGGCUUUGUGGAUUUCAGAAAUAAUUUAUGCUACAUUAUCUCGGCCACGGAUUCUAGAAAACAACUGAUGACAUUAGAAAAGUGGAAGCCUGUCUAAUGUGAUGAGGUGUUAAUGCAAAGACCGAAACCUUUCAUUCCAAGUUAAAAGCACAGAAGUGUGCCCUCAUUCGCCCAUAGUCCGAGGCAGGGAGCAGUCCUUUUCUUUGAGCGUGUGCCCUCUCGUAGGUGUUUCACUUCUCUUUGUCGCAUAACCACGUCCAAAAGUCACCUGUGAGAUUUCACGCGUCUGUGUAUUCAAAGGGCAGCGAGAAGGCGGAGGCAUCUCUGAAACGACCUGAGCACAGGAAACUUUUCUGCAUCUUGAGAUUCAUCGCUUAAAUAUUUCAGCUGCCUGGUCCACAUUUACUCGGAAGGCAAUGUGGGGGGACCCGCUUUUAUCAAAUCUUCCCCAAGCAUUCCAAGUAUUUUCCACAGGAACCGUCUUCCACUCAUGUCUCUCUGGCUGAGAGUAUGUUUCGUUGAAUCACACACUGACGGUCACAGACACGCACGAAGAGGAUUGGGAACUGACACUCGCUGCUUUGGGAGGCGCGUGUGGGUGGGUCAGCCCCUUUCAUGGAGGGAGGGCAGCGUCCUCCGAACCUUCCAGUCAGAACAGCCGCCGACUGAGUUUCCCAGCAACUCCUCCCUCCUGCCCUUCCAGGAGAAGAAUGGAGAUGCCCAACCAUAGAAAAUCCAAAUCCGUUUCCCCGUCUGCAAGAGGUGGCUGAGGACACGGUGCUCACCUCUCAGGAUUGUCCUGAUCACGAGGCAGCCGACACAUAUCAAGUCUCCAGGGUCCAGCCCGGCACACCACAGAACGUGCUCCUUAUAAGCUAGCGGGGGUCACAGUCAAACGCAUACUCUGAAACUAAAUACCUGCCUUCCAGAUUUUCCAAUUGCUCAGUUUGUUCCACUGAACUUUCUCCUUGCGUGCACUUGUGUGUGCAUGUGUGUGUGCACACUUGGCUGUCCACUGCACCUCCCAUCUCUCUACAUGCCCUCGAAUUGCAGUCAUGGGUCUUGCUACACACACAGACUGCAGGAUAAGCUAAGCAGAAAUCCCAAACCAGCAGCCCUGAGGACAAGUCUGGCCCACAGAUGUGUUCUGUUUGCUCAGAUGACCCAGGCUGGCCCAGGACGAGCUUUCCUCGGAAUCAGAGGCCAGUGUCCCCGCAGACCUCGGGAGGCCAGGGCUUGGGAGGUGCUGUGCUCCUCGAUUCCAUCACCUGCUUCUGUGCAGCCCCCCGAUCAGGCUCCAACUCUCAUCCGCAGCCGAGGAGGGACGCAUCCGCGGCCGGCGGUAACGAGGGAGGGAUGCAGAGGAAGCAGGGUGCCCACACUCAGCAGGGUGCCGUCAAGUGGCCUCUGGGCUGGGGCCUCUCCGCGUGGUCCCCCUUCUUCCCGAGCAUCUCUCAGGUCCUGGAACACAGUCCCGCAGCCCCCUCGCUGGCGGUCUGUGUCUUUCCUCUGCCGGCGUUCCUGGUGGUACAGCGUCCGGGCCCUCAAGAGCGAGGUUAAAGAACAAGUAACACAUCUUGGAGCCCAAGGGCAGGUACUCGGGAAACCACUUGGGC